UUUUUUGAAUCUCUAUUUUAUUAAUUUCCUCUCUGAUCUUUAUGAUUUCCUUUCUUUUGCUGACUUUAGGGUUUUUUUUUUUUCUUCUUUUUCUAAUUCUAGGUGGUGUGUUAAGUUGUUGAUUUGAGAUUUUUAUUCUUUUUUGAGGAAGGCCUGUCUUGAAAUGAACUUUCCCUCUAGGCACUGCUUUUUGUGGCAUCCCAUAGAUUUUGAAUGGUUGUGUUUUCAUUAUCAUUUGUCUCAAGGUAUUUUUUAAUUUCCUUUUUGACUUCCUCAUUGAUUCAUUGGUUUUUUAGUAGCAUGUUGUUUGGUCUCCAUGUAGUCAGUUUUUUCUCAUUUCUUUUCCCGUAGUUGAUUUCUACUUUCAUGCCAUUGUGGUUACUUGAAAUAAUAUCUAUACUUUUAAAUUUGUUAAGAUUACUUUUUUUAUGCCCCAGUAUGUGGUCAAUUCUCGAGAAUAUUCCAUAUGCACUUGAAAAGAAAGUAUAUUCUGAUUUUUUUAGAUAUAACGUCCUGAAAAUGUCAACUAAGUCUAACUUUUCUAUUGUGUCCUUUAGGAUCUCUGUUGCCUUAUUGAUUUUCUGUCUAGAGGAUCUGUCAGUAAAUGUGAGUGAAGUGUUAGAGUCUCCUACUAUUAUUGUAUUCACAUUAAUUUCUUCUUUUAUGUCUGCUGGUAUUUGCUGUAUGUAUCUGGGUGCUCCCAUAUGAGGGCAUAUAUAUUGACAAUUGUAAUACCCCCUUUCUUGACUGGAUCCUUUUAUAAUUAAAUAGUGUUCUUCUUUGUAUUUUUUAUGGCCUUUGUUUUAAAGUCUAUUUUGUCUGAUAUGAGUAUUGCAACUCCUGCUUUCCUGUCUUUUCCAUUGCCAUGACGUAUCUUUUCCGAUCCUCUCACUUUCAAUUUAUAUGUAUCUUUGCCCUAAGGUGAGUCUUUUGUAAACAGCAUAUUGUAGGCUCUUGCUUUUUUAAUCCAAUCUGCCACUCUAUGUCUUUUGAUUGGAGCAUUCAGUCCAUUGACAUUUAAGGUAAUUACUCAUAAAUAUGUCUUUGUUGCCAUUUUAAACCUAUUUUUCCAGUGAUUCUAUGUUUCUCCUUUGUUCCUUUCUUUUUUUUUGGUUGGAUGAUUUCCUUUUGUUUUAUGCUUGUGCCCUUUUGUUUUUAGUUUUUGUGAAUGUAAUGUUUGGUUUGAUUUGUAGUUGCCCUGUUUUUCAAGUAUGUUAACCCCUUCCUAUAUCUGCUUGCUUUAGCCUGAUCGUCAUAUAGGCUCAAACACAUUCUAAAAGAGUCUAGAUUUUCUUACUUUUCCUUCUCUACAUUUUAUGAUUU
Molecule: long non-coding RNA, 1323 nt
Filed under: Sus scrofa (pig)
Lineage: Eukaryota; Metazoa; Chordata; Mammalia; Artiodactyla; Suidae
Description: lncRNA (ENSSSCG00015008250.1)
Source: RNAcentral